Molecule: unclassified non-coding RNA, 628 nt
Filed under: Hevea brasiliensis (rubber tree)
Lineage: Eukaryota; Viridiplantae; Streptophyta; Magnoliopsida; Malpighiales; Euphorbiaceae
Source: RNAcentral
AAUGCCCCCUUUCAGUGAACCAACUCUAUCCUGUUUAAUGAAAUUCAAAUUACAGUGAAUAAAAAAAAUUAAAAAAAAAAUUCAGGUCACUUUCAAGAGGCGGCGCCGCGUGGCCUCGGCGCCUUGUCCCCUCUUGGCUUCGGGGCGGCCGCCUCUUUGAAGUCGCCUCGCCUUGGCCUGGGGAGUUGCAGCAUGCUCGCCUCGCCUCGCCUCUCAACUCGCCUGGCGCCUCUUCUCGCCUCUUACAACACUGAGAUAUCCUCAUUUCCAGAAAACUGAAAUUGAGAAACUAGUGUCUGAGAUCCUUGACAGUGGGGUGAUUCAACAUAGUAAUAGCUCUUAUGCUUCCCCUGUUUUAUUAGUUAAGGAAAAAAGAUGGGUCUUGGAGGUUUUGUGCGGAUUAUAGGAAGCUGAAUGAUGCUACUGUUAAAAAUAAAUUUCCAAUUCCUAUUAUUGAGGAUCUAUUGGAUGAAUUGCAUGGGGCAACAGUCUUUUCCAAGAUAGACCUUGGAGCUGGCUACCAUCAUAUUAGGAUGGACACUCCAGAUAUUCUGAAGACUGCUUUCAAAACACAUAAUGGGCACUUUGAGUUUACAGUCAUGCUCUUUGGACUUACAAAUGCACCAGC